Molecule: ribosomal RNA, 253 nt
Filed under: uncultured bacterium
Lineage: Bacteria
Description: partial 16S ribosomal RNA
Rfam family: Bacterial small subunit ribosomal RNA
Source: RNAcentral
AACGUAGGUGGCGAGCGUUAUCCGGAUUUACUGGGCGUAAAGCGUGUGCAGGCGGGGAACCAAGUGGGGUAUGAAAUCGCCCGGCUAAACCGGGCUAGGUUAUGCCAGACUGGUUUUCUGGAGUGCGAGAGAGGGGCGUGGAAUUCCCGGUGUAGCGGUGAAAUGCGUAGAUAUCGUAAGGAAGACCAGUGGCGAAGGCGGGUCUCUGGACAGUUCCUGACACUGAGACACGAAGGCCAGGGGAGCAAACGGG